RNAcentral lists this ribosomal RNA (502 nucleotides) under uncultured bacterium. RNAcentral describes it as "partial 16S ribosomal RNA". It matches the Rfam family "Bacterial small subunit ribosomal RNA", at positions 30 to 523 of the family's 1533-position model. The record is from RNAcentral.
AUUGAACGCUGGCGGCGUGCCUAACACAUGCAAGUCGAGCGGUAACAGGUGUAGCAAUACAUGCUGACGAGCGGCGAACGGGUGAGUAAUGCUUCGGAAUCUACCUUAUGGUGGGGAAUAACUAGCCGAAAGGUUAGCUAAUACCGCAUACGUCCUACGGGAGAAAGCAGGGGAUCGCAAGACCUUGCGCCAAAAGAUGAGCCGAAGUCGGAUUAGGUAGUUGGUAGGGUAACGGCCUACCAAGGCGACGAUCCGUAGCUGGUCUGAGAGGACGACCAGCCACCCGGGGACUGAGACACGGCCCAGACUCCUACGGGAGGCAGCAGUGGGGAAUAUUGGAAAAUGGGGGAAACCCUGAUUCAGCGACGCCGCGUGUGUGAAGAAGGCCUGCGGGUUGUAAAGCACUUUUAGUGGGGAUGAAAUGUGCAGGGUUAAUACCUCUGCAUUUUGACCUAACCCACAGAAAAAGCACCGGCUAACUCUGUGCCAGCCGCCGCAGUAA